Molecule: microRNA precursor, 116 nt
Filed under: Tupaia belangeri (northern tree shrew)
Lineage: Eukaryota; Metazoa; Chordata; Mammalia; Scandentia; Tupaiidae
Description: miRNA (ENSTBEG00000017885.1)
Source: RNAcentral
AGACUGGUUAAUGAUAACAAUGCAUCAUAAAACCUUCAGAAAGAAGGAAAAUGUUUUGUGGACCAUUUUGUUUUUUUGUGUGUGGCAAUUUUAAGUUAUUAGAUUUUAAAAUCAGU